Molecule: unclassified non-coding RNA, 6917 nt
Filed under: Mizuhopecten yessoensis (Yesso scallop)
Lineage: Eukaryota; Metazoa; Mollusca; Bivalvia; Pectinida; Pectinidae
Description: dynamin-binding protein-like, transcript variant X4
Source: RNAcentral
UGUGUUAGAAUGGCGACUAACUGUCAAGUGAAAGUGGUUUAGUUACUGAAAAUCGUUAAAAACAAAGUUUGUGGGAGUGCCAUGCCAUUGACAGAUUUGGUUGGACCGAAGUGAUAUCUCAUUACCAUAGCAACAAUGUAACCGUGGCUUCCAACAGUCCUCUUUAGUGAGUGUGAUGGAACUGAUAUGGUUUAUAGUUUAUGGGCCAGUGAUCCUUUCUACCAAGUAUGCCUGUCCAUCUGACUGACAUUUAGCAUGCUGUGGCUGUUACGAGUGUCUGAAGGAUACCAAAGGUUGACCUGCCUGAUAUCAAGAUGAAGCCUGAUGUGUCAGAUUAUGUGGACCAGUAUGUCCGUGCAGUGUACGAUUUCAACUCGACACAGAGAGGGGAAAUAAAUCUCUCAAAAGGGGAGAUAAUUCGUGUGUCAUCAGUGGUGGACAGUAAUUGGCUGAGGGGAAGGAAAGGAGACAUUGAGGGAAGUUUCCCGGUGAGUUUUGUGGAGAAGAUAUGUUUACCUGCUGUACAACUCGGGCAGAAGGUGUUUGGGGCUACAGAGAACUUUCCUUCUCAAGAACAAGGCGACCUGCAGUUCAAGAAAGGUGUAGUGGUCAUUGGUCUGCACCGAAUAGAUGAUAACUGGUGGGAGGGUAAAUCUGGAGGUCAUAAUGGGAUAUUCCCAUUGACACAUGUGAUGGAGCUAGAGGUCCCCUCCUCUCUUCGUGAGAGGUCCAAGAGUGUGCACUCGUCUGAACCAAUGUUUGCCAGAGCCCUUAGGGACUCGGUGGCCCAGCUGGACGAGGAACUAGGGUUCAAGGCUGGGGACAUGAUCACUAUCAAAGAGGUGGUAGAUGCAGACUGGUAUAUUGGAGAGCUGGGCAGUCGCUCAGGCAUGUUCCUGGCAUCCUGUGUUGAGCUAUUACAAGAUACCACUGCCCAGGAUGAUCACUGUAAGACCGACUCACAUCAGGAUAACUCCCGUCAGAACUCCAGUGCUGCGGAGGUGAACAAUGUAAAAAGUAAGCCAUACCAACCAAAUUCUUCUCUACACAAAAGUGAUACAAAUUCUGUAGGUCCUACAGAUAAUACUGUAUCAACUACGAACUCCAAUGUGUCUUCAGAUGCUGAUUUGACUUCACGUUCCACCUCACAUGAGUCAGACAUCACACCGUAUGCACGAACUCUCUACCCCUUUGUAGGACAGUCUGACGACGAAUUGACAUUCCGUGGAAAUGAGAUGGUGUAUCUUAUACAACAUGUGGAUGAUCAGUGGAUAGAAGGAGAAUUGGAGGGGAAAACUGGACUGUUUCCUGCCUCUUACGUGUCCAUAAUUGUUGAUUGCCCUUAUGCAUCUGGUCCAGUAUCGACAGAUCUUUCUUCUGUCGACCAGUCAAGUAAUCAGUGUUCAGUGAUUGGUGGGUCUGAGGAGGUGUCAGAGGGCAGUGUGGACCCACAGUUAAGGAAAACUGAGAGUGUAGUGCAUAAGUUCAGUGGCAGUGAUCCCAAGGUAGGUCGUUAUGGACUGGUCAAGUUCACGUUUGUAGAGGAAAACAGUGGAGACCUGAGUGUCAUGGAGGGAGACACUGUUCUUAUUUUGAAACUUAUUGAUGAGAAUUGGGUCAUGGCCCAGGAUGACAGAGGCAAGGAAGGAAUAUGUCCUAAAAGUUUUGUAGAAAUCUUUGAUGAUAGUCCAGACUUCCAGCCACAAGGAAAGUCAGUUACAGAGUCAGUCAGGCCAGUUGUUGAUGAACAGUUAGCUGGAGUUCAAGUUUACAAGUCACCAAUGCUCAGCAAACAUCAUUCAUUGAACGAAAUUUCAAAAAAUCAAAACAUUGAUAAACCCAAGUCAUUGGUGAAACCUUUGGUGUCCCCAAAGCCAACCCUUAAGCCAAAACCAGCAUUACUUCCAAAGCCUGUUGGGCCCAUGAAGGCCACCUUCCUGUCCAGAGUACACGCCGUUGAGGAGAGUAGCAGUAUGCAGAGGUCUCCGUCCUCUCCUGUGUUACAGAGUGCCAUGGUUCCAGAUGCAAACUCAAAAACUAAAUCUUCCUCUACUUGUGAACUAGAUAGGAUGGGGUUGGGUCAGCCACCAAGAUGGACUGAUGGGCCCGCGAUCAACAAAAACCUUGACUUUCUGAUUGCUGGUGAGAUGGAGAAGGCAAUGGAAGAGACACGUUCCCGAAGCUCAAGCAUUCAGAGUACAACCUCCUCUGGGUCAAGUGUCGGCUCAGUCACAAAAGAUACUGAGGCUCAGGGGUCACUGGCUGUCCCUAUGAGAGCAAAACGUCCUCCUCCACCUAGCCAAACGUCUAUCAACCAACACAGACACACUGUAAAUUUUCCAGUGACCUUUGACUCUUCUGCAACUCAACAACCACGCUUCAGUAAACAGAACAGUCUUGCAACAUCCCCAGGCCUGAAUAGCGGUAAUGAAAUAAGUGUUGGUAACUCCACAUUCUUCACCGACGUCUUGAUCCCAGAUCGAAAAAUCCCUGUCAUGAGGAAGCCUCCGCCUCCUCAAAGGACUGCAUCCAUUGAUACUUUUGACCGCAAGCUGUCAUUGAGAAAACCUCCUCCACCUCGCCCCACAGUCCCUCGGGGUAGUUCACAGGACACUCGGACUGGCAAGACUGUACCUCAUAGGUCUGCUCCCCGCCCUCCCAAAAAUGUGCGUGUUCCGUCCCGCCCCGCUCCACCCACCCCUUCACAGAUGUGCCCUCCUCCCCCCAAGCGACCACCUCCAAGGAGACCUUUGUCAGAGGAAGCCAUUGAAAAGUAUGAAGCCAAUGCCGAGAUCAUUCGGGACUUACGUAACAGGAUACAGGAGGUAGAGCAGGACUUGGAGAAUUGUCGUAAGUGUAAGGGUGAGUUGGAAGUGAUGCUGUACAACAGUCCAGAGGAAGAUCGUGCAGAGGUGUACGACAAUGUAGAAUUCUAUGAUGAAAACAUCAAAGGUCUUACAGACGAGUUGCAAAACCUGAGGGAAACUCUUCAAAAACUGUCUCCGGAGGAAAUGGACGCUGUUGAACAACAGAUGGCCGAAGAGAAACAAAGGCAGGAAGAAGAGAAACGACAGAUAGAGGAAAAGAAAAAACAGGAAGAAUUGAUGCAAAAAAGAAAGGAAAAGCGAUCAAAAGUGAUUGAGGAGUUGGUCCACACAGAAAAGGACUUUUUACAGAGUCUUCAUCUGUGUAUGGAAACUUUCCUUAAUCCUCUGGCAGAAAAGCACCUUGAUGUAGAUAUUGAGCUGAUAUUUGGGAACAUGGAGGAGAUUGCUGAGGUGUCACAACGGUUGCUAACAAUGAUGGAGGAGGCAGUCUGUGCUAGAGAGUUCCAGGAUAUCAUUAUAGGUCCAUGUUUCACAUCACUGGCAGAAGAUAUGAAGAAUGUUUAUGCGCCAUACUGUCGUAACCAUGACGAUGUUAUCAUGGUCAUGGAACGUUACCAUACAAACCCAUCCAUUAAUGAGUACUUUGAGAGAAUGCUGGACAUCCUACGUGAACAGAGUGUCGUGUUUGAUGUGGGAGCUCUCCUUAUUAAGCCUGUACAGCGUAUCCUCAAAUAUCCCCUCCUGCUGAACGAACUCAUCAAGACAACAGAAGAGGGCCACAAGGACAAGUUAGAACUACUUGAUGCCAUCAACACCAUGACAGAUGUGGCAGCAGCUAUCAAUGAGUACAAACGCAGGAAAGACCUGGUUUACAAGUACAAGAAGAUCACUGAUGAAACCCUUGGAGACAAACUGGCCAAACUUAGCCUUCACUCACUGAAGAAAAAGGGCAGUCGCUUCAAGGGCCGACUAUCGACAUCUAUAGGGCUGUCCCCACAAACUAAAGAUGAAACCUUUGACAAAGAAGAGAGCCGUUUCAGGUUAUUGGAGAAAAUUGUGAGGAUUUUUGUACGAGACAUACAGGUGUACAUGGAACAAGUUCAGGAGUCUAUGCAUUAUCAUGAAAGUCUGGUGGUCGAUGUAGAGGAUUUCUAUGAGGAGGUUCCGAAUGUACUCUUGAUAGAGAAAUACAAACAGGUCCACAACCUCAUUGAAAGCCAGUUCCUGCCUGGAUUUGUGACAAGUGUAACAGAUCAAGUUAUCUCCCCUUUGGAGCGUCUGGUUCAGUUUUUCAUAGCUCCAAACAAGGUGAUACAGAAACGAUAUGACAAACUGCUUGACUAUGACUCCAUGUUACGCAAGUCUAAGGAUGACAAGUCACUUGAGAAGGCUCUGGGAACAACAAAGAAGGACUAUGAGGCGAUGAAUGCCCAGUUACUAGAUGAGCUGCCCUCCCUGUACAGCCUGUCACUAAGCCUGCUCCAGGACUGUGUGGCAGCGUUUGUCAGUGCUCAGCAGGCCUACGCUGAUGAUGUCUUACACAGGAUGUCAGAACUUCUAGAUUUGUCGUCGUUGCUGUGUACAGAUCACAGUGUGAUGGAUGUAUUUAACCACAAGCACGUGUCUAUAGUGGACAGAAUGUCACUACUCUCCUUCAUACCCAAGGGCUUCAACCCUCGCAUGGAGCUUAUCAAACAGGACAAGAAGGCUAAACAAAAGACAAUGGAUGUCGCAGACAAGGAAUGUGGGGGCCAAUCAGACAGUCAGCGCAUGUAUGUGACCCAAAAAUACCCCUCAGACAAACUGUACAUAGUUAACGAGAAAUAUACCCCAACAGACACCAUGGACAUUCCCCUCCUGCACAGGGAGUUAGUCGGUGUAGUCAUGGAAAAGGACCCAUUGGGCAACAAGGAUCGGUGGUUUGUUGACAAUGGAGCAUCCAAAGGUUUUGUACCUAAGAAUAUUCUUACACUCUACCAAUCCACGGCUCCACAAUCCUACUCACCUCCUCAAACCUCCACCACAGUGACUAGGACCUGCUCCAUACUGGAGCCUGUACCUGUUGGAGGGGAGAGAGGGACGGGGCUAGCAGCAGCCAAUGUGGAGGACGAUGAGUUUGACUUUGCUUUAGAGGAGGACAUGAGUCCAGAAAUCACAGAGGAGAUCAACGUUUCCAGCUCGAGUGGUUCUGAAGAGUUUUACUUUGCGGAGUUUGGAUUUGAGGCAAGGACUGUUACAGAAGUAUCCAUGUUCGAGGGCCAGGUCGUCACAGUGCUAGCCAAACACGACCAGGAGGGUAACACAGAGUGGUGGCAUGUCGAUGCCGAUGGGCUCCGGGGCUAUGCACCUUCUAUCUACCUCAAACCCAUGAGCUGACUCUAGGUCAAGGUCAGGUCAUCGGGGUCAUUGUAGUGUCAGGCAAUCACUACCACAGUUGAAGGACUGGGCAUGUUCAUCUGAUUCCAGUGUUUGGACUAGAGCUACGAUUGUGAUAAAGUUUGGAGAAUACAGGUUUUUUACUGUGAGAACUUGAGAAUAUAUGUUUCCUAUGAGAUGGAGGUGUAAUGUGGUGCUGUUAUCCAUGAGAGUUACAGACAAAGAAAUAUGCAAAGGAUUUUUUGGUAUGGUUUAUUCAUUAUGACAUUUGAUAGGAAUGCAAAAAAAGCAUGCAUCUGUAAAACAGACAAUAUCAAGGGAGAUUACUCUUAACACAAAUGACAGGUAUAAUGUGUUAGGCAAUGAAGGGUAAAUCAUGUAGAAUAACCAACGGAGACUUACUGCAAGGCUAGUGUGUAAUGUCAAAGUUCAACUUAACUAUGGUAUUACAUUUAUUCAAGGUAGAUGUACCCCCAAAAUGUAAGUGAUACGUGUCCUCACGGAUCUCUUGUUUACUCGAUGGACUCCAAUGGCAGGUGUUCAUGUUAUUGAGAUUGUGGUCAAGGAAGACAUAUUUAUAUUACUUAUCAAUUGAUAAUUGUGUAUGUCUAUGUGUUACUAUCUACAAAUGAUACUGAUGUCUUCCCCUGGAACACUUUUUUUGUGAUGAUCACUACAUGAAUAUUAAACAAAAUUCCAAAAGCCUCAUUGAAAAUACUUGUUAAAUCAUUCUAGGAAAACACAAAUAGAUUGAUAAUUUUUUUGAGAAGAAUCUAUCUGCAACCAGUGAAAAAUAGAGGUAAAAAUAUAAGAAUAGGACUACAACACCUACAACAAUCAAAAGUUAAAAUAAUGUAUAGUUUCUGGAGCAUUUGGAGAAAGAUUUGACAUUUUGAGUAAAAUGAUGUAUGGAUUGAGAAAUUCUGUUAAGUAUUCUCAAAAGUGAUAAAAAUGGGUUUCAGGAGAAAUGUGGAUGAGACAUUGCUGAGAAGUAUUUUUAACUUACUAUAGAUUAUUUGUGUUAUAAUUUAUACCAUGAUGACAUUCGGGUACACUGCAAUAAUGUAGAUGUUACAAAAUGCCUUUUGUGAUUGUUUAGGUCUAUACUUGUAUUGUUGUACAUGAUGUAUAGGCCUAGCAAAGUAUUGUGUGUUUCAGGUUUCAUCACUCCAAAGACUCGGUUAGGUCAGUUGGUACCUUUAUUAUGUCCUCUAACUGAAUGGUAAGGAUUUACUGUGUUCCUCUGCCUUCUCUGUGGCCUACAAUUGGCUGAAGCCUCACAUAAAAUAUACUUUGUUGGAGGAAUAAAUAACAGAUACACUGACAUCCAACAACAGACUUUUAACAUUUAUCAUCAAGCUAUAAGUACUGUUUAAUGUGUGCCUGAUAUAUAGAGAAGGAUUCCAAACACCCUAGAUAACUUGUAUUAUUGAGGUCUAACACUGAAAUGUUUUAUACAAGCUUAGAAUAGAAAUGUUCUCCAAAGAAAGGUUAUUGGAAAAAACCAACACAAUAGGCUUAUUAUAUUUGGAUAACAUUUAUUCCAAUAGGGCAAGCUUCCAUCUAGCUUGUUUAUCUUUCUGCACCUGGUUAGUGCAAAUCGAGCAGGCCAUGUUUGGCCGCUCAUGGCUGGCUAUAAGUUACAGUUGUGGGAUCGCACAACGUUACACGAUGUGCGGUGUGUGAAUGAUGUGUGCACGAAGUGCGAAUGAU